UCUCUUUCUCUCUCUCUCUCUCUUGAAUAGAAAUCAGAAACAGGGGAAAAGAUAGACACGGAGAGAGAGAGAGUCAGACAGAGCUUCAGAUCUGACCCCCCUCUGUCAAGAGGGUCUUCUCUUCUUGCUUCCAUUCCUUCAUUUCUUCUGUUAUCGUAUCCAAUUCCGUCUUUCUUUCACUUCUUCCCUGCCCCAUUCUGUUUAGCUACCGUUUUGGUUCGCAUCUAUUGUACUUGACCACUUAAUAUUGUUUUACUUAUGUUGGUCUAUUCCUGGUUUUUGUUGUUUCUGUUGGAUUUGUUUGCUGGAAUUUUUUUUUUUGUGUAUUUCCUCUGUGAUUAACAUGGUUUUUCAAUGAUUUUAUGUAUUUUUGCGAUAAUUGUUUGUUGCUCAAUUGAGUUAGCUUUGAUUUUUUUUUUCUUAAAUUAAUGGAUUUCAUAUAUCAAUGGCAUGGCCAUGGUCUUUUUGAGUUUUAUUUGGUAUCUAAUUGGUUGUAUUAUCUGGGUUUUUUUCAUUCAACGAUCGGUAUAUGUUCUACUUGAUUGCUUAUUGUGGUAAACAGCUGGCCUGUAAGAUUGAUAGAUUCAUUGAUUUGGUGAUCUUGAGUUCUUCAAUUUAUUUUAAUUAUUCUUGUUCAACUAUUUGAUCCUUCAUCAACAACGCUCUCAAAACAAAUGGAUUUGUACUGAUUUGAUAGUAAUAUAUAAGUGUGUUUGUUGAAACUUUAUUUACAUAAUAUUUUAUUGCUUUGUCAAUCAGGUUUUCCAUUUUUCAAGGUUGAUCGCUGCUCAGAAGAAUGGGUGUGGAGGUUGGUGGAUCUGAGAUGGCUCAAGUACCUGUUGAGACUGUUACUGAAGUAGAUAAUUCAUUUUUGCAUGACAAGGAAAAUGGAAAGCUGGAUAAGGAAUCUGGUUUUAAACCUAUAAAAUUUGGUUCGCAUGAGGAGGAGCCAGCUAAAGGAGAAGGGGAUGAGGUUGCAGAUUCUAAGUUCCCAACGGAUGCAGCUGAUGAGUGGCCUGCUCCAAAGCAGAUCCAUACCUUUUAUUUUGUAAGAUACCGACCAUUUGAUGAUCCUAAAAUAAAAGCCAAAAUUGACCAGUAUGACAGGGAGAUUCAGAAGAGCAAUCAGUCCCGUUUUCAGAUUACUGAAGAAUUGAAAGCAAAGAGGUCAGAGCGUGCAGAAUUGCUGGGACAAGUGAAGGCUCUAAGAAAUGAGAAUGUACAGUACAAAACAAUUUUUAAUGAGAAGAAAAAGGAAAUAGAACCUCUGCAGCAGGCACUGGGUAAGCUGCGGAACACAAACAAUGCAGGUCGUGGUGGUCUAUGUUCAUCUGAGGAAGAACUUAAUGAUCUUGUAUGUUGUAAUUGCUAGUGUUAUUGAUCUUGCUUGAUUUAAUUGCUAGUGUUUCUGUAACAUUGUUAUUCAACAAUUUUUUUGAGCAGUAGUGGCUGUUGCUCCAUUUUUACUUGCCUUAUGCUUUGGUAUUGUUGAAUUUAGAUAUACAGCUUGCAAUAUCGCAUACAGCAUGAGAGCAUCCCAUUAACAGAGGAGAAGCAAAUACUUAGAGAAAUCAAACAGCUCGAGGGGACAAGGGAAAAAGUAAUUGCUAAUGCUGCUAUGAGAGCAAAGAUUCAAGAUUCAUUGGGCCAGAAAGAAGCUAUUCAAGAUCAGGUCAAACUUAUGGGUGUGGAUUUGGAUGGAGUAAAAAAAGAGCAACAGGCAGUUUGGGGAAGAAUUAACCAACUCAGGGAAAAAGUGAAUGGAUUAGAUUUUGAAAUCAAGUCCUUACAGGAUGAUCUGACAGCUGUGAUGCAGAAGAGGGACAAAGCAUACGACAAUAUCAAGUCGUUAAGGCAACAACGUGAUGAAGGGAAUGUUCACUUCUAUAAUAGCCGCAAGACCAUGACUGAAGCUAAAGACCUUGCUGCAAAGAAAGAUAUAAAGGCUCUUGAGGAGCUUUCCUGUGAAGAGGUUGAUAAAUUUAUGUCCCUUUGGAGCAAUAACAAGGCCUUUAGGGAUGAUUAUGAGAAAAGAAUUUUGCCAUCACUUGACAGUAGACAGUUGAGUAGGGAUGGACGAAUCAGAAACGCUGAUGAGAAGCCAUUGGUGGUAUUGGAGACAGCAGUACCAUCUGAACCAGAGCCAGUGGCAAAAGCUAAUAUUAAACGAGUGAAGGAAGAACCAAAAUCCACUCCACAAAAGGAUACUUUGCCCACCCAGAAGGUCCAGAAAGAAUCAAGUAAGACAGAUUCAAAGGCCACUUCAGAGCAUAUUGAUGUGGCUGAUGAGAUCUCUGGGUCAGAAAAGCAGCAAAAAAAUCAUCCUGUAAAGAAGGAAAUAGAUGAAGCAAAAUUGAAGGAGCUCAAAAGAGAAGAAGAGAUGGAAAAAGCUAAGCAAGCCAUGGAGAGGAAGAAGAAAUUGGCUGAGAAAGCUGCAGCUAAAGCAGCUAUAAAAGCUCAAAAGGAAGCUGAAAAGAAGAUUAGGGAAAUUAUUACUUUAUUCCCUCCAUCUAAUAAUUGCUUACUAUUUACCAUUUGGUUGCAUUUAGAAUCUUAAACAUUACUUCUGAUUUUUACUUACAGGAGCGUGAAAAGAAAUUGAAGAAGAAAGCUGCAGCAUCUGCAUCUAUGAUUGAAUCUGAGGAUCCAGCUGAAGAAGUUGUGGAGGAAACAGAAACUGAGAAGGUUGAAGCGCAUGAUGAACCUCCUGCAUCAGUGAAGGCAAAAGUUAAGAAGGAGAACUCUGUCAAGCACCGGAUUCGGUCAAGGGGCACAGAUUCACUUCCAAAAGCUAUCCUGAGGAGGAAAAAGUCAACUAAUUAUUGGAUGUGGGCUGCUGCUGCUGCUGCUUCGCUACUUCUUGUGCUUGUAGCUCUGGGAUGCUACUAUCUUCUGUGAAGAAUCUAAACUAGGAUUAAGUAGAAGAGUUGUGGACAAUUUUCUGCUUGAUGAGCAUGCAAAUUGGCUAGGUUUGUAGUAGCAGGAAUUAAGACAUUUUUUUUCCGUUGCAUCCUGUCCUUGGAUUGGAUAGACUGAAAGCUCAUAAAUCAUAAUGUUGGUGGUAGUAGUUCAGGCAGUUCAAAAUAUUUAGCAGGGAAGAAUGACAUUCAUUUUGUUUGUUUUUGUUUUUAUGUGCUUCCGAAUUUUGAUUUUGUUAACUUUCAUGAAAGUUAAGCCUGCGCUUUAUUUGGCAAGUUGAUGAGUGCUUAUUUUCAGCAUGUAUUAUGUGCUCUUUUCAUUUUCAUUUGACAAUAGAAUUUUUCUCUGA
Molecule: unclassified non-coding RNA, 3268 nt
Filed under: Hevea brasiliensis (rubber tree)
Lineage: Eukaryota; Viridiplantae; Streptophyta; Magnoliopsida; Malpighiales; Euphorbiaceae
Source: RNAcentral